AGGGGUUUGAUCUUGGCUCAGAAUCAACGCUGGCGGCGUGCCUAACACAUGCAAGUCGAGCGAGAAAAGGAACUUCGGUUCCCGAGUACAGCGGCGCACGGGUGAGUACAACGUGGGUAAUCUGCCCCGGAGCGGGGAAUAACACCGGGAAACCGGUGCUAAUACCGCAUACGAUCACAGCAUCCUCGGAAGCUGUGAUGAAAGGCUUCGGCCACUCUGGGAGGAGCCCACGCCCGAUUAGCUAGUUGGUGAGGUAAUGGCUCACCAAGGCAACGAUCGGUAGCCGGUCUGAGAGGACGGUCGGCCACACUGGAACUGAGACACGGUCCAGACUCCUACGGGAGGCAGCAGUGGGGAAUUUUUGACAAUGGGGGAAACCCUGAUCAAGCAACGCCGCGUGGAUGAUGAAGUAUCUCGGUACGUAAAAUCCUUUCGACAGGGAAGAAGCCUUCGGGUUGACGGUACCUGUAGAAGAAGCCCCGGCUAACUCCGUGCCAGCAGCCGCGGUAAUACGGGGGGGGCAAGCGUUGUUCGGAUUUACUGGGCGUAAAGGGCGCGUAGGCGGUUCGUUAAGUCGGAUGUGAAAACUCUGGGCUCAACCCCAGAGCCUGCAUUCCGAUACUGGCGGACUAGAGUGCGAGAGGGGAAAGCGGAAUUCCUGGUGUACGGGUGAAAUGCGUAGAUAUUAGGAGGAACACCCGGCGGCUGAUGCGGCUUUCUGGAUCGCAACCUG
RNAcentral lists this ribosomal RNA (733 nucleotides) under uncultured bacterium. RNAcentral describes it as "bacterial SSU rRNA". It matches the Rfam family "Bacterial small subunit ribosomal RNA", at positions 1 to 742 of the family's 1533-position model. The record is from RNAcentral.